GCCAGGUGUGGUGGCACAUACCUAUAAUCCCAGCAUUUGGGAAGCUGAGGCAAGAGGAUCACAAGUUUGAGACUAGCCUAGGCAUUUUAGUGAGACUCUGCCUCAA
Molecule: small RNA, 106 nt
Filed under: Marmota monax (woodchuck)
Lineage: Eukaryota; Metazoa; Chordata; Mammalia; Rodentia; Sciuridae
Source: RNAcentral